This 288-nucleotide ribosomal RNA is filed under the name Triticum aestivum (bread wheat). RNAcentral's name for it is "partial small subunit ribosomal RNA". The record is from RNAcentral. Lineage: Eukaryota; Viridiplantae; Streptophyta; Magnoliopsida; Poales; Poaceae.
AUGCCCCUGGACUUCACCAAGCACUUCGUCGCAGUGCCGACGGAGUUCAAGCUUAGGAACAACACCGACUGCUCCUGGAAGGUGACGGUCAAGUUGAUGAAUGACAGGGUGACCCUGGAUCAGGGUUGGGCCACCUACGAAGCCGUUCAUCAGAUCAAGAUCGGCUACAUGGUGACGUUCAAGCUCCUGACUCCCGACACCCUCAAGGUCAUCAUCUUCGACGAGGAUGGCUUUGAGGUCGUCAACAAGUGCGGGAAGCACGACGAAGCCUUCGCCGCCAAGGAGUAG